Long non-coding RNA from Lycium ferocissimum, 465 nucleotides. RefSeq lists it as uncharacterized. The record is from RefSeq and is a predicted model, not a curated record. The transcript is spliced from 2 exons. Lineage: Eukaryota; Viridiplantae; Streptophyta; Magnoliopsida; Solanales; Solanaceae.
GAGAGGAAAAAGUUUGAAAGUUGAAGAAGCUAAAAAAUUUCGAUUUUUAAAAGUUGCUUAGUAAAAUUUUAAAUACUUUGACUUGGAUAGUUGGGGUUUUUUCUCAGUUCUAAAAAUAUUUUCUUGCUUUAUUUUUAUUUCGCGUGGCUGAGUGUCGAGGUUGGAAGCAUAAGGCUCCCAAGUCCAUUCUUUUCUUGGCUGCGCACAUAAAAGCCAUGUAUAUGGAUAUGUGGAUCUGUGUCUUCCAUGGCUAUGUUGGUUGAGAGAGGCAGUUUAGGUGGGAGGGGGGCUUAGUUUGAACCUUCCCCUGGUGACCAGCCAUGCUGGAGGUUCAUGAAACCUCUUGGAACUUGUGCGGCAUCAGGAACAAGGGGGGUGAUGACUUUGCCUUCCCACCAUCUAGGUUUGAGAUUGAGUUUAAGGACAUGGAAAUACAUAUGCACAUUAUGUGAGCUUGUGAAUAAA